UACGGGGGGGGCAAGCGUUGUUCGGAAUUACUGGGCGUAAAGGGCUCGUAGGCGGCCAACUAAGUCAGACGUGAAAUCCCCAGGCUCAACCUGGGAACUGCGUCUGAUACUGGAUGGCUUGAAUUCGGGAGAGGGAUGCAGAAUUCCAGGUGUAGCGGUGAAAUGCGUAGAUAUCUGGAGGAAUACCUGUGGCGAAAGCGGCUCACUGGACCACAACUGACGCUGAGGCGCGAAAGCUAGGGGAGCAAACAGG
Molecule: ribosomal RNA, 253 nt
Filed under: uncultured bacterium
Lineage: Bacteria
Description: partial 16S ribosomal RNA
Rfam family: Bacterial small subunit ribosomal RNA
Source: RNAcentral